Molecule: unclassified non-coding RNA, 484 nt
Filed under: Hevea brasiliensis (rubber tree)
Lineage: Eukaryota; Viridiplantae; Streptophyta; Magnoliopsida; Malpighiales; Euphorbiaceae
Source: RNAcentral
CACGACUCCGGUCAAAGACAUUUUCAAGGGCAAGAAGGUCGUCAUCUUUGGGCUUCCUGGUGCAUAUACAGGAGUUUGUUCCCAGCAGCACGUUCCUAGUUACAAGAAUAAAAUUGAUGACUUCAAGGCUAAAGGAAUUGAUUCUGUUAUUUGUGUGUCUGUUAAUGAUCCAUAUACUCUCAAUGGCUGGGCUGAGAAACUUGAAGCGAAAGAUGCUAUACAAUUUUUUGGGGACUUCGAUGGGAGAUUUCACAAGAGCCUGGAACUGGAUAAAGAUCUUUCUGCUGCUUUGCUGGGCCCCCGUUCUCAAAGAUGGUCAGCAUAUGUUGUAGAUGGAAAAGUUAAGGCUCUUAACAUAGAGGAAGCUCCAUCUGACUUUAAGGUUACUGGGGCAGAGGUCAUUUUGAAGCAAAUUUAGAGUCAGUUUCCAUAGCCAACCAACAAAAGCUCUUGGGUUCCGAAUAAGAUCAUGUGUGUAAAUGAG